GGAAAGGCGAAAGCGUUGUUGGUUUCUCCUACAGUAGUCCCGCAAGACGGAACAGGUUUGAGACACCUCCAGGUUCCGGGUCAGCCUUCAGAGUCGUGAAGCUUGCUGUGGCACAUAAGUCACGCCAAGCAUUCAGUAGCAGGCUCUUCGUCGGGCAGUAUCCUCGGUCAUAGUGUGGCAAACAGAAAGUGACACGAUCAUGGACAGGUGCCCAUAAUAUCAAUUUCCUGCAACAACGGAAGUGUGAAACACGAAGUACUCAUCAUGACUGGUCACAUCAUGCGGUUUGGUGGGGCACAUAAUUUCCUUCUUCGCGUCGUAUUGGUUCUCCUUUUAACCGAAACAUUGGGCUUCUUUCGAUGCAACUUGGACACUACGGACAAAAUGUUCUUCCCAGAUCAAGUGAACUAUUUGCGUGUGUGGACAUCCAGAUGCUCGUGUGCAGACCGCAUAUACUGGCCACCUGAUGACAUGUGUUACGAGGAAGGGAAGCAAGGGCCUUGCGCUGUUGGACGCGUUCUAGUAUUUGACAGAAGAAAAAUAGAGCCAAGAUGUGAAAAUGUUUAUCAACAUUGAGAUAAUUUGUCAUAUCGGAUCAAUAUAUGACAAAGAGUGUUUCGUACCAAAAAUUCAUAUAACUGAUAUUUGAAAUGUGUUUCUAUGAAAAAGAGAAAGCGCUUUAAGAACUUUCAGAAUCAAACUGCGUCUCAUGCGCAGCAGUUCCUGAGCAACAUUUUUAAUCUGGUAAAUCGUAAAAAGAAAAAAAAAAAGUUAUGGACUUCGUCGUAUUAAAAACUGCUCUGCACGUAUGAAAGUAUGAGCAAUAAGAAAAGCACAACAGACCACUGUAGGUCGCUGUGCAAGGGCCGAGAAGGCCCACCUCUCAUACAUACAUACAAUCAUUCAUUCAUUCAUUCAUAAUAAGAACGUGAAAUGAAAGUAGCGCAUUUUCUCCAUGUUUCCAAACACUAUGCAGAGCCUCAGUCUAAUCGGGAGGAGUAGAGAAAUUACUUCACUUUUACUCUCGGAAUUCUGAUCUCAAGUGCCUUACAAACAGAUUACGGAUUAUGGAUAUACAGAUUAUAAAGAUGUACGUGAUAAAACGCGGAAACCAUGCUUUUCCAAUUAGAAUAGGUUUUUACUGUCAAUUACACACGCAUUUGGAAAUUCCAAAGAACGAUAAAACAACAAACGUUAGCUGUGUGUUCCAAAAUGAAUUCUCACCAUUUCUCUAGUGGAACCCACAUUUGUAAAUUCCAACAACAGUUGUAGAGUCUUGUCAAAUUGUACUUUUCCACAUGGUAUUGUUGAUUCAACCAACAUGUACUUCAUUUAAAUUAAACAAAGUUAUAAUUGGUCGUAAACCA
Long non-coding RNA from Cryptotermes secundus, 1367 nucleotides. RefSeq lists it as uncharacterized. Lineage: Eukaryota; Metazoa; Arthropoda; Insecta; Blattodea; Kalotermitidae. The transcript has 2 exons. The record is from RefSeq and is a predicted model, not a curated record.